GGUUAACCGAAUAGGGGAGCCGAAGGGAAACCGAGUCUUAACUGGGCGUUAAGUUGCAGGGUAUAGACCCGAAACCCGGUGAUCUAGCCAUGGGCAGGUUGAAGGUUGGGUAACACUAACUGGAGGACCGAACCGACUAAUGUUGAAAAAUUAGCGGAUGACUUGUGGCUGGGGGUGAAAGGCCAAUCAAACCGGGAGAUAGCUGGUUCUCCCCGAAAGCUAUUUAGGUAGCGCCUCGUGAAUUCAUCUUCGGGGGUAGAGCACUGUUUCGGCUAGGGGGUCAUCCCGACUUACCAACCCGAUGCAAACUGCGAAUACCGAAGAAUGUUAUCACGGGAGACACACGGCGGGUGCUAACGUCCGUCGUGAAGAGGGAAACAACCCAGACCGCCAGCUAAGGUCCCAAAGUCAUGGUUAAGUGGGAAACGAUGUGGGAAGGCACAGACAGCCAGGAUGUUGGCUUAGAAGCAGCCAUCAUUUAAAGAAAGCGUAAUAGCUCACUGGUCGAGUCGGCCUGCGCGGAAGAUGUAACGGGGCUAAACCAUGCACCGAAGCUGCGGCAGCGACACUAUGUGUUGUUGGGUAGGGGAGCGUUCUGUAAGCCGUUGAAGGUGGCCUGUGAGGGUUGCUGGAGGUAUCAGAAGUGCGAAUGCUGACAUAAGUAACGAUAAUGCGGGUGAAAAACCCGCACGCCGGAAGACCAAGGGUUCCUGUCCAACGUUAAUCGGGGCAGGGUGAGUCGACCCCUAAGGCGAGGCCGAAAGGCGUAGUCGAUGGGAAACAGGUUAAUAUUCCUGUACUUGGUGUUACUGCGAAGGGGGGACGGAGAAGGCUAUGUUAGCCGGGCGACGGUUGUCCCGGUUUAAGCAUGUAGGCGGAAUGACCAGGUAAAUCCGGUCGUUUAUUAACGCUGAGGUGUGAUGACGAGGCACUACGGUGCUGAAGUAACAAAUGCCCUGCUUCCAGGAAAAGCCUCUAAGCAUCAGGUAACACGAAAUCGUACCCCAAACCGACACAGGUGGUCAGGUAGAGAAUACCAAGGCGCUUGAGAGAACUCGGGUGAAGGAACUAGGCAAAAUGGUGCCGUAACUUCGGGAGAAGGCACGCUGAUAUGUAGGUGAAGUGGUUUACCCAUGGAGCUGAAAUCAGUCGAAGAUACCAGCUGGCUGCAACUGUUUAUUAAAAACACAGCACUGUGCAAACACGAAAGUGGACGUAUACGGUGUGACGCCUGCCCGGUGCCGGAAGGUUAAUUGAUGGGGUUAUCCGUAAGGAGAAGCUCUUGAUCGAAGCCCCGGUAAACGGCGGCCGUAACUAUAACGGUCCUAAGGUAGCGAAAUUCCUUGUCGGGUAAGUUCCGACCUGCACGAAUGGCGUAAUGAUGGCCAGGCUGUCUCCACCCGAGACUCAGUGAAAUUGAACUCGCUGUGAAGAUGCAGUGUACCCGCGGCAAGACGGAAAGACCCCGUGAACCUUUACUAUAGCUUGACACUGAACACUGGUCCUUGAUGUGUAGGAUAGGUGGGAGGCUUUGAAGUGUGGACGCCAGUCUGCAUGGAGCCAUCCUUGAAAUACCACCCUUUAAUGGCUGGUGUUCUAACGUAGACCCGUAAUCCGGGUUGCGGACAGUGUCUGGUGGGUAGUUUGACUGGGGCGGUCUCCUCCUAAAGAGUAACGGAGGAGCACGAAGGUUAGCUAAUCCUGGUCGGACAUCAGGAGGUUAGUGCAAAGGCAUAAGCUAGCUUGACUGCGAGAGUGACGGCUCGAGCAGGUGCGAAAGCAGGUCUUAGUGAUCCGGUGGUUCUGAAUGGAAGGGCCAUCGCUCAACGGAUAAAAGGUACUCCGGGGAUAACAGGCUGAUACCGCCCAAGAGUUCAUAUCGACGGCGGUGUUUGGCACCUCGAUGUCGGCUCAUCACAUCCUGGGGCUGAAGUAGGUCCCAAGGGUAUGGCUGUUCGCCAUUUAAAGUGGUACGCGAGCUGGGUUUAGAACGUCGUGAGACAGUUCGGUCCCUAUCUGCCGUGGGCGCUGGAGAAUUGAGGGGGGCUGCUCCUAGUACGAGAGGACCGGAGUGGACGCAUCACUGGUGUUCGGGUUGUCAUGCCAAUGGCAUUGCCCGGUAGCUAAAUGCGGAAGAGAUAAGUGCUGAAAGCAUCUAAGCACGAAACUUGCCCCGAGAUGAGUUCUCCCUGAGACUAUAAGUCUCCUGAAGGAACGUUGAAGACUACGACGUUGAUAGGUCGGGUGUGUAAGCGUAGCGAUACGUUGAGCUAACCGAUACUAAUGAACCGUGAGGCUUAACCUU
This 2305-nucleotide ribosomal RNA is filed under the name Citrobacter sp. Cpo090. RNAcentral describes it as "partial 23S ribosomal RNA". It matches the Rfam family "Bacterial large subunit ribosomal RNA", at positions 644 to 2925 of the family's 2925-position model. Lineage: Bacteria; Pseudomonadati; Pseudomonadota; Gammaproteobacteria; Enterobacterales; Enterobacteriaceae. The record is from RNAcentral.